Molecule: ribosomal RNA, 311 nt
Filed under: uncultured bacterium
Lineage: Bacteria
Description: bacterial SSU rRNA
Rfam family: Bacterial small subunit ribosomal RNA
Source: RNAcentral
GAUGAACGCUAGCGGCAGGCCUAACACAUGCAAGUCGAGGGGUAACAUAGAGAAGCUUGCUUUUCUGAUGACGACCGGCGCACGGGUGCGUAACGCGUAUACAAUCUACCUUACACUAGGGGAUAGCCUUUGGAAACGAAGAUUAAUACCCUAUAGUAUGAUAAAGUGGCAUCACUUAAUCAUUAAAGGUUACGGUGUAAGAUGAGUAUGCGUCCUAUUAGUUAGUUGGUGUGGUAACGGCACACCAAGACAACGAUAGGUAGGGGCCCUGAGAGGGGGAUCCUCCACACUGGUACUGAGACACGGACCAG